Mustela erminea (ermine) is the source of this 493-nucleotide long non-coding RNA. RefSeq lists it as uncharacterized. The record is from RefSeq and is a predicted model, not a curated record. The transcript has 4 exons. Lineage: Eukaryota; Metazoa; Chordata; Mammalia; Carnivora; Mustelidae.
CCCCAGCUUGCCCUCCUGCCGAACUCCUGCUCCUCCCUCAAGACACACCUCAGAUGUCCCGCUUUUAGAGCAGGGAAUGGUCUGGACAAGCUGAUAAUGGCGUGGCACAUGCGGUGAGCUCUGGCUUUCGAUAAAAGCAAGCCCAGUCACCUGCCUGCGGUGACCUUCGAUGUUGGGAGGCUCCAGGCAGAACCUCACUUCACUUCACCUGGACCCCACUGCCCUCCUCACAGUGGGGGAGCUGGAGACUUACAGCCUCACAGCCUCACAGCCAGUGAGAGGACAGCUGGAGCAGCAGACAGAUCGCGCUCCUACUGCUAAUCCUCCCUCUACAGACAGACCUCAGCCACUGAGAGCAGAAGGGCGGGGUGGAGGAGGGGGCAGGAGCGCAGACAGUUAAAUAAAGGCUCAGAGGAAGAAGAUCAGCUCCAGAGAAAAGGGCACAAAGAGCAAAAAAUAAAUGGCAAAUUACCGGGUAGCCAUCUCGUCCUGA